This 71-nucleotide transfer RNA is filed under the name Magnetovibrio sp. Its description in RNAcentral is "tRNA-OTHER". It matches the Rfam family "tRNA". From Rfam's summary of the family: Transfer RNA (tRNA) molecules are approximately 80 nucleotides in length. The record is from RNAcentral. Lineage: Bacteria; Pseudomonadati; Pseudomonadota; Alphaproteobacteria; Rhodospirillales; Magnetovibrionaceae.
CCACAUAUGGCCCAAUGGAAGGGAACCGGGAGUUGAAACCGGAAAGGUUGGUUCAAAUCCAACUAUGUGGG